RNAcentral lists this non-coding RNA (85 nucleotides) under unclassified sequences. RNAcentral describes it as "NiCo sequence". It matches the Rfam family "NiCo (Nickel/Cobalt) riboswitch aptamer". The record is from RNAcentral.
GCAUUUUUGAUGGAGCAGGCCAUUCUGUAUCAGCAGGAUGGAGCCGGGCGAUACUGCAGCAGGAUGGCUUUCCUGCGGGACCUAU